RNAcentral lists this ribosomal RNA (446 nucleotides) under uncultured bacterium. RNAcentral's name for it is "partial 16S ribosomal RNA". It matches the Rfam family "Bacterial small subunit ribosomal RNA", at positions 338 to 795 of the family's 1533-position model. The record is from RNAcentral.
CCUACGGGAGGCUGCAGUCGAGAAUCAUUCACAAUGGGGGAAACCCUGAUGGGGCGACGCCGCGUGGGGGAAUGAAGGUCUGCGGAUUGUAAACCCCUGUCAUGUGGGAGCAAAUUAAAAAGAUAGUACCACAAGAGGAAGAGACGGCUAACUCUGUGCCAGCAGCCGCGGUAAUACAGAGGUCUCAAGCGUUGUUCGGAAUCACUGGGCGUAAAGCGUGCGUAGGCUGUUUCGUAAGUCGUGUGUGAAAGGCGCGGGCUCAACCCGCGGACGGCACAUGAUACUGCGAGACUAGAGUAAUGGAGGGGGAACCGGAAUUCUCGGUGUAGCGGUGAAAUGCGUAGAUAUCGGGAGGAACACUCGUGGCGAAGGCGGGUUCCUGGACAUUAACUGACGCUGAGGCACGAAGGCCAGGGGAGCGAAAAGGAUUAGAUACCCGUGUAGUC